Molecule: ribosomal RNA, 469 nt
Filed under: uncultured bacterium
Lineage: Bacteria
Description: partial 16S ribosomal RNA
Rfam family: Bacterial small subunit ribosomal RNA
Source: RNAcentral
GACGAACGCUGGCGGCGUGCUUAACACAUGCAAGUCGAACGGAAAGGCCCUGCUUGCAGGGUUCUCGAGUGGCGAACGGGUGAGUAACACGUGGGUGAUCUGCCCCUUACUUUGGGAUAAGCCUGGGAAACUGGGUCUAAUACUGGAUAGGACCAUGCUGUAGGUGGUGUGGUGGAAAGAUUAGUUUCGGUAAGGGAUGAGCUCGCGGCCUAUCAGCUUGUUGGUGGGGUAAUGGCCUACCAAGGCGUCGACGGGUAGCCGGCCUGAGAGGGUGGAAGGCAACAUUGGGACUGAGAUACGGCCCAGACGCCUACGGGAGGCAGCAGUGGGGAAUAUUGCACAAUGGGAGCAAGCCUGAUGCAGCGACGCCGCGUGGGGGAUGACGGCCUUCGGGUUGUAAACUCCUUUCAGCCAUGACGAAGCCCUUGUGGUGACGGUAGUGGUAGAAGAAGCACCGGCUAACUACGUG